This is a small nucleolar RNA of Arachis duranensis, 86 nucleotides long. The record is from RefSeq and is a predicted model, not a curated record. Lineage: Eukaryota; Viridiplantae; Streptophyta; Magnoliopsida; Fabales; Fabaceae.
UGCAAUCAAUGAUGCAUCUUUUUCCCAAAAUUAUGAUCAUCUGUGAUUAAUAUCCAAAUUAUCACCAUCUUUCGACUGAGAUUGCA